This 379-nucleotide ribosomal RNA is filed under the name uncultured eukaryote. Its description in RNAcentral is "partial 18S ribosomal RNA". It matches the Rfam family "Eukaryotic small subunit ribosomal RNA", at positions 592 to 976 of the family's 1831-position model. The record is from RNAcentral.
CAAUAGCGUAUAUUUAAGUUGUUGCAGUUAAAAAGCUCGUAGUUGGAUUUCGGAUGGGACUUGCCGGUCCGUCGUUUCGAUGUGCACUGGCCAGUCCUAUCUUGUUGUCGGGGACUAGCUCCUGGGCUUCACUGUCCGGGACUAGGAGCUGACGAGGUUACUUUGAGUAAAUUAGAGUGUUCAAAGCAAGCCUACGCUCUGAAUACAUUAGCAUGGAAUAACACGAUAGGACUCUGGCUUAUCUUGUUGGUCUGUGAGACCAGAGUAAUGAUUAAGAGGGACAGUCGGGGGCAUUCGUAUUUCAUUGUCAGAGGUGAAAUUCUUGUAUUUAUGAAAGACGAACUUCUGCGAAAGCAUUUGUCAAGGAUGUUUUCAUUAA